RNAcentral lists this ribosomal RNA (254 nucleotides) under uncultured bacterium. Its description in RNAcentral is "partial 16S ribosomal RNA". It matches the Rfam family "Bacterial small subunit ribosomal RNA", at positions 524 to 776 of the family's 1533-position model. The record is from RNAcentral.
UACGGGGGGGGCAAGCGUUGUUCGGAAUUACUGGGCGUAAAGGGCUCGUAGGUGGCCAACUAAGUCAGACGUGAAAUCCCUCGGCUUAACCGGGGAACUGCGUCUGAUACUGGAUGGCUUGAGUUCGGGAGAGGGAUGCGGAAUUCCAGGUGUAGCGGUGAAAUUCGUAGAUAUCGGGAGGAAUACCAGUGGCGAAGGCGCUGACCUGGACGAAAGAUUGACGCUGAGGUGCGAAAGCGCGGGGAGCAAACAGG